UCCUCCCUCUUUCUUCCCCCUCCCCCAAUUGUUUUCCAUCUUCCAUUUUCCACCCUCACUCUUUCGCUCCCCUUUUCCACUCUCCAUUCCCUUACUCUUUCCUUCCCUCUUCACUCAACCUCACUACCAGCAAAGAGAAGAAGCUUCAUUGUGAAUGGACAAACACCAAUGAUUGUUGCAUUGUGAAUAGAUGGAUGUGAACGGACAGAUGCGACCCUCACUCCACAUAAUUUCGAUGACUCGAACAGGUCGAGGGGAACAAAGAGAAUCUUGCUGCUGCACACAAUUUGGACGAAAUCUUCCUGCUACACCCAUUUGGUCGAGCUACUACACAAGAUUUGCACGACGUGUUGUACACGAUUUGGACAGAACGCCGACGAGCGUGAAUAGAAUGCCACCAAAUAUAACAGAACUCCGGUGAACGCAAAUAGAACCUUGUUUGCAGAUAACCCAUUCAUUUUCAGCCGACAGCUGCCUGCCCCAAAUCCCCGCCGUUCGUGCUCGAAGACCGACCACCAAAGCCGCUACCCAGAUCUGCUCCAGCCUCAAUUGCACGAUCCCCGCCUCACCGCGCAGUGCCAUCGUCUCCGUCGAAGCACACCAUUGCUCUAGCUGUCCUCGUUAGGCUUGUCACGUCUGACCGGCAAUCUCUUCUUCAACCCAUCACAAUUCGAGCACUGGUGGAAUUUUUAAGGUAGAAGUGUGUUGUCAGGCAUUGCAAAGGAUUAAGUUAGGUUCGCAAACGACCUUAACUUCGAAAUUAAUUUUGGACCAAACAAUGUUUUGAUUGAGGCAUUUGUUUGAGAGGUCGAAGGCAGUUUUGGAACAAGCUAUACUUUGGGCUUGAUUCAAGAUUCAUCUAAGCGAGGAGAAGGAUUAAAUUGCUUGCCACUUAGGCGUAAUUUGAGGUAAGUAAUCUUACUACUGGAACUGCCCAUGGGCCAGGCAUUAGAUGUAUUCUAGCAUGAUAAAUGUAUGUUAUGACAAAAUGUUAGCAUGAUAGACUGAUAGUAUAAUAUGAUCAAAGUAUGUUCUGGUACGAGAUCUGAAUUAUUUAUUUACGCACAUAGACACUUGAAUGCUAGUAUGAGAUGGUAUGUGCUUCCGUAUGGUUGUAAUUGAUCUAAUAAUGUUGAGGUAUACAUGUAUGUUGUAAAGCCAUGAUGUUGAGGUUUAUAUGUAUGUCAUAAAUUCGUACAGUGAUGAUUAUGAUGUUGAGACUGUGCAAAUGUCCUUACUGAUUAGUUAGAUACCCAUUAGUUAGAUACCCAUUAGGACCUGAAUUGGUGCAUAUCACGAAUGAGGCAAUACAGAAGAUCAGGGCUUGUAUGCAAACAGCUUAGAGCAGACAGAAGAGCUAUGCCGAUGUAAGACGUAAGGACCUAGAAUUUGAGACUGGUGCGAAAGUGUUCUUAAAAGUGGCACCCAUGAAAGGUAUUCUGAGGUUUGGUAGGAAGAGAAAGUUGAGUCCGAGAUUCAUUGGACCUUUCGAGGUCUUGGAACGAGUUGGCCUCGUAGCUUACCGUUUGGCAUUGCCUUCAGCACUGUCUUCAGUUCAUAAUGUCUUCCAUGUUUCGAUGCUAAGGAAGUAUGUGACAGACCCAUCCCAUGUAGUUGACUACGAGCCCUUACAGUUGAAUUACAACUUGAGCUACAAGGAGAAGCCUAUAGAGAUCCUCACCAGAGAGGUAAAAACAUUACGCUGCUGGGAAAUUGCUUUUGUGAAAGUCCUGUGGCAGAAUCACCAGUUCAAGGAGGCUACCUGGGAGAGAGAGGAUGAGAUGAAGGCCUAGUACCCAGAGCUUUUUCAAGAAUGAACUUCCUAGGACGAAAGUUCUUUGAGGAGGGAAGAAUGU
Benincasa hispida (wax gourd) is the source of this 1856-nucleotide long non-coding RNA. RefSeq lists it as uncharacterized. The record is from RefSeq and is a predicted model, not a curated record. NCBI's taxonomy places the organism in Eukaryota, Viridiplantae, Streptophyta, Magnoliopsida, Cucurbitales, Cucurbitaceae.